RNAcentral lists this ribosomal RNA (1269 nucleotides) under Coxiella endosymbiont of Amblyomma americanum. RNAcentral describes it as "bacterial SSU rRNA". It matches the Rfam family "Bacterial small subunit ribosomal RNA", at positions 141 to 1412 of the family's 1533-position model. The record is from RNAcentral. Lineage: Bacteria; Pseudomonadati; Pseudomonadota; Gammaproteobacteria; Legionellales; Coxiellaceae.
GGAUAACCCGAGGAAACUCGGGCUAAUACCGCGUAGUAUCUCUUUUCAUAGAAAAGUUGAAGAAAGCGGGGGAUCCUUGAGUUUUUUUAAGGACCUCGCACUAAAAGAUGAGCCUGCGUCGGAUUAGUUAGUUGGUGGGGUAAUAGCCCACCAAGACGAUGAUCCGUAGCUGGUCUGAGAGGAUGAUCAGCCACACUGGGACUGAGACACGGCCCAGACUCCUAUGGGAGGCAGCAGUGGGGAAUAUUGGACAAUGGGGGAAACCCUGAUCCAGCAAUGCCGCGUGUGUGAAGAAGGCCUUCGGGUUGUAAAGCACUUUCAGCAGGAAAGAAAGUCUUAAAGUUAAUACCUUUAAUGAGUUGACGUUACCUGCAGAAGAAGCACUGGCUAACUCUGUGCCAGCAGCCGCGGUAAUACAGAGAGUGCAAGCGUUAAUCGGAAUUACUGGGCGUAAAGCGCGCGUAGGUGGAUAUUAAAGUCGGGUGUGAAAGCCCCGAGCUUAGAGUAUAGUAGAGGGAAGUGGAAUUUCCGGUGUAGCGGUGAAAUGCGUAGAUAUCGGAAGGAACACCAGUGGCGAAGGCGGCUUCCUGGACUAAUACUGACACUGAGGUGCGAAAGCGUAGGGAGCAAACAGGAUUAGAGACCCUGGUAGUCCACGCUGUCAACGAUGAGAACUAGCUGUUAGAAAACUUGUUUUCUGGUAGCGAAGCUAACGCGUUAAGUUCUCCGCCUGGGGAGUACGACCGCAAGGUUAAAACUCAAAGAAAUUGACGGGGGCCCGCACAAGCGGUGGAGCAUGUGGUUUAAUUCGAUGCAACACGAAAAACCUUACCUACCCUUGACAUCCUCGGAACUUGUCAGAGAUGACUUGGUGCCUUCGGGAACCGAGUGACAGGUGCUGCAUGGCUGUCGUCAGCUCGUGUCGUGAGAUGUUGGGUUAAGUCCCGUAACGAGCGCAACCCUUGUCCUUAGUUGCCAGCGGUUCGGCCGGGAACUCUAAGGAGACUGCCGGUGAUAAACCGGAGGAAGGUGAGGAUGAUGUCAAGUCAUCAUGGCCCUUAUGGGUAGGGCUACACACGUGCUACAAUGGGCAGUACAGAGGGUUGCCAAAUCGUGAGGUGGAGCUAAUCCCAGAAAGCUGCUCGUAGUCCGGAUUGGAGUCUGCAACUCGACUCUAUGAAGCUGGAAUCGCUAGUAAUCGCGAAUCAGAAUGUCGCGGUGAAUACGUUCUCGGGCCUUGUACACACCGCCCGUCACACCAUGGGAGUG